Molecule: ribosomal RNA, 461 nt
Filed under: uncultured Acidimicrobiales bacterium
Lineage: Bacteria; Bacillati; Actinomycetota; Acidimicrobiia; Acidimicrobiales
Description: bacterial SSU rRNA
Rfam family: Bacterial small subunit ribosomal RNA
Source: RNAcentral
GACGAACGCUGGCGGCGUGCCUAAUACAUGCAAGUCGAACGAGAACCUGGAGCUUGCUCCAGGGGACAGUGGCGAACGGGUGAGUAACACGUGAGAAACCUGCCCCAGAGACCGGGACAACCAUUGGAAACGAUGGCUAAUACCGGAUGCCUUCACAUGAUCGCAUGAUCGAGUGAAGAAAGGCUCUGGCGCUCUGGGAGGGUCUCGCGGCCUAUCAGCUAGUUGGUGGGGUAACGGCCUACCAAGGCAUCGACGGGUAGCUGGUCUGAGAGGACGAUCAGCCACACUGGGACUGAGACACGGCCCAGACUCCUACGGGAGGCAGCAGUAGGGAAUAUUGCGCAAUGGGGGAAACCCUGACGCAGCAACGCCGCGUGUGGGAUGACGGCUUUCGGGUUGUAAACCACUUUCAGUGAUGACGAAAAUGACGGUAAUCACAGAAGAAGGUCCGGCCAACUACG